This 161-nucleotide ribosomal RNA is filed under the name Neopanax laetus. RNAcentral describes it as "Pseudopanax laetus 5.8S ribosomal RNA". It matches the Rfam family "5.8S ribosomal RNA". Rfam says of the family: 5.8S ribosomal RNA (5.8S rRNA) is a component of the large subunit of the eukaryotic ribosome. It is transcribed by RNA polymerase I as part of the 45S precursor that also contains 18S and 28S rRNA. Functionally, it is thought that 5.8S rRNA may be involved in ribosome translocation. The record is from RNAcentral. Lineage: Eukaryota; Viridiplantae; Streptophyta; Magnoliopsida; Apiales; Araliaceae.
AAACGACUCUCGGCAACGGAUAUCUCGGCUCUCGCAUCGAUGAAGAACGUAGCGAAAUGCGAUACUUGGUGUGAAUUGCAGAAUCCCGUGAACCAUCGAGUCUUUGAACGCAAGUUGCGCCCGAAGCCAUUAGGUCGAGGCACGUCUGCCUGGGCGUCACG